GCUCAACAGCUGCAAAAGUUAAAAAAUUGGCUAAGUCAGAAGAGUAGGUGAAGUAGCCCUGUUGACAGGCUUGGUAGGUGGACAAAAGGCUGACCAAAAAUCCCUUAAUUCGGGGGAUAAGAUCACUGAAGCAAUGUAUUUCAAGGGAGGAGAGAGAGGAGACGAGAGAGAGAGAGGAGAGAGCUCGGAAUCGUUCCCAGAAGAAGCCCUCAGAAGCAACUCCAAAAAAAACAAAAUCCAGAAAAUCCAGACUGACCUUGGGAGAGAAAAGUGAGAUUUUCAUAACCCUGCGGCUAAAAUUAGCCAAAGUCUUCAACUAGAGAGUGAAACAUCAUUCCAAGAUCUUUCCAUCCAUAGGUCGCACGUUCCAAAUGGAGAUCGGGAAGGCCUCCUAAAGCCCCCCGAAAGUACACCCUCCUGGCGGGCCAAGAAACACUGGAAAUUUUUCUAAGUGUUGAGCCCGAUUGGUCACGAGUGAGGGAAAGCCAGUGUUUUUGAGAAAUUUGAGAGACAAGAAUAAAUAUAGUUUGGGUUGGUGUCAAUUUUUCCAGCAAAAGACUUCUUGAAGUCUAAUUUUAGAGGUCAACGAAAACCUUCGUUGUCAGUUCUCCUUUUUUGCAGAUCUCAUUUCCAGUUGAAGAAGCCAACUUCCAUGUGCUUCCAGAGGACAAUUUCUCGGUUUCCUUGGCCAAGAACCACUUGAAAAAGAUACUAUGAAGCAAGGUAAGUAUCCUAGAUGUAUUUUUGUUCGAGUUUGAACAUGUUUUAAUAGUGAAAAAUUAAGAGGAAAACUAGUCCAAGAAACUGAUUUUGAGGCUGGAAUUUUUCUAAGUGUUGAAAUCUCUUCAAGAGUUUUGCAUGUGUGCUUUUUGAAGAGGUUGUUUUGAUGUGUUCGGUUGGUCAUUUUCUAUGAUGUUUGUUGCAUUUGAAAGCUCAUGUUACCUACUUUCAUUCGGAUCAAGUAAUGUUUCCCUUAGAUCUCGUAUGUGAUGGGUGUCGGGGCUUGAAUAUGGGCAUUCAACCUGUUUGCUUGACUUGGGUUCAAACCCAGAUUUGCAAAAUCAGAUCAAACCCACAUAUUUGAUGACGAUUCCAGCUUGGUUUUCGUGUGUUUUAAGCUGUGAUUUCUAUCUAAUCUUAUUGUUUGCAUGUGGUAGUUUAACCUUGAUGUUUUAGUUCCACAUAAUAUUGCUCAUGUGUUGACACUGAAGGCCGCGAACAUGACCCGAAGAAGCCAUUUUGGGGUGAUUUGAUGCAAGCCAAGUAUUCGAUAAAAUGUUGAAACCAAGCUUCAUUCUCGAAGCGGUCAAUCUGAGCUUAAUCGUUGUGAUAUUCAUGUGAUGUGUUACUCCAUGUUAGCAUAGAUCGGUUCAAGGAAUUAUUAUUAAUAUUUUUUUUUUGAAAAAAAAAAUAAAAAAAGAGAAAAAUCUGAAAAUUUCAAAAAUAUCAAAAAUGUUGGAUAACAUCAAAUUAGGAUAGAAAUGACAUAUAUGGAAUUUUCCUAAUUUUAAAAAUGUUAUUUUCCUAAUUUAAUGCUAUUUUGGUAUUUUAUAACAAUUUUUGUAAAUAAUCCAUUUUGCAUAGAUUAAAAUUAUCUAGAGUAAUUUCAUGCAUUUAGAGUAAUAUCAUGCAUAUUUAAAUUCCCAUUUCACUCACGGGGGUCCUGUCCCGGGGCGUGAUAACAAGGUCAUGUAAUAUUAUUUGCCCGACUUGUAUCGGGUUUUCCUUUUCCGUAUUUAUUUUCAAGUCAUUUUAAUUUCGUGGAUGUAUACUUAC
Molecule: long non-coding RNA, 1776 nt
Filed under: Eucalyptus grandis
Lineage: Eukaryota; Viridiplantae; Streptophyta; Magnoliopsida; Myrtales; Myrtaceae
Description: long non-coding RNA (EGRA_LNC001645)
Source: RNAcentral